CCUACGGGCUGCAGCAGUGGGGAAUAUUGCACAAUGGGCGCAAGCCUGAUGCAGCGACACCGUGUGGGCGACGAAGGCCUUCGGGUCGUAAAGCCCUGUUGUUGGGGACGAAGGGCGAAGGGUUAAUAGCCCCUAGCCUGACGGUACCCUUCGAGGAAGCCCCGGCUAACUACGUGCCAGCAGCCGCGGUAAUACGUAGGGGGCGAGCGUUGUCCGGAAUUAUUGGGCGUAAAGAGCGUGUAGGUGGUUCGGUAAGUCUGUCGUGAAAUCCUGAGGCUCAACCUCGGGCGUGCGAUGGAUACUGCCGGGCUAGAGGAUGGUAGAGGCGAGUGGAAUUCCCGGUGUAGCGGUGAAGUGCGCAGAUAUCGGGAGGAACACCAGUAGCGAAGGCGGCUCGCUGGGCCAUUCCUGACGCUGAGACGCGAAAGCUAGGGGAGCGAACAGGAUUAGAUACCCUGGUAGUC
RNAcentral lists this ribosomal RNA (464 nucleotides) under uncultured bacterium. RNAcentral describes it as "bacterial SSU rRNA". It matches the Rfam family "Bacterial small subunit ribosomal RNA", at positions 338 to 795 of the family's 1533-position model. The record is from RNAcentral.